Molecule: long non-coding RNA, 740 nt
Filed under: Homo sapiens (human)
Lineage: Eukaryota; Metazoa; Chordata; Mammalia; Primates; Hominidae
Description: HSALNT0339580
Source: RNAcentral
CCUGCCCUCAAGAAGUAUAGUCUAGUUGUGGAGGAAAGAUAUCAACACAACUAACUGAGAUACAAGGAAGCAGUGAAGAGAAUCCCAAGAGAGACACAUAGGAGUUUGAAGAAGAAUUUACACCUGAGAAAGCAGGAUUCUUUCAUAGGGCAGAAGUAGUUUGACCUGGACCUUAAAUUAGGUUUUGGGUUGGAUUUAAAGAAUCCACAUUGAAGAAGAGUAUUCCUAGUGGGAAGAAUAGCAUUAGAAAAUGCACAGAGAUACCAAAAUAUUAGAUGUUUUUUGGAACUCUGAAACGAUUUCAUGUUUCCAGAAUACCAAGAAUUGGGGGUGUGGGAGGGGAGGCAGGAGAAGGAAGAUUUCAUGAGAAAUGAGAUUGGGACCAGACUGUGGAGGAUUUUGAGGGCUGAGAAGUUUUACUUCAUUCUAGAAAUAAUGAGGAACGACUCAGCAUUUGUUUGCCUGCAGUUUGCUUCAGUGACUGAAUAGUGAGGGAGCUGAAGAGUGAUUAAGCAGACUUGGGGCCAGAGUGAAUUCAAGUCUGAUUGCCUCUGGAGGGUGUCUUCCUUCAGCCUUCAUCACUGGAGUGAGGACUGAUAGGUGGCCCAGAAGCCAAGCCUCAUCCUGGAAUUCUGCCUACGUCAAAGGUUCCUUGUUUAAGGAUUACGAGGGGAGAAGUGGUUUGGAGUAUUCUGGCUACUGUCACACUUAUUUACAUAUUAAAAGUUGGUCUCUACCUU